AUUGAGAUGGUCCCAUCGUUGAGAUAAGAACAUUCAAAGAAAGUUAUACCGAACAGUGGCACGACUUUGCAAAAGCAGUGUUGCUACUGGUGACAAAAAGCUCACGUGCAUCCUCGUUGGAGGCAGUAUCCAACUCUGAACUCUCACUUGUACCCUAUCAAAUGGUACGAGUAAGAAAAUAAUAGGUUAUUAUUGUGAUGCCAAAAUGAAAUUGCACUCAAGCUGACUGGGAAGCAUGUACCUCACACAUGGGAUCAAUCCUUGCUCAGGCUCGGACAGCCAACGACCUGGAGGUGAGACCUUUGACACAGCCGGAGGCCAAGCUCGUGGACGAUAUCAAGUCUGCUGGCAACCAUUUCUUUGGGAUGCAGC
RNAcentral lists this long non-coding RNA (372 nucleotides) under Coccomyxa subellipsoidea. RNAcentral describes it as "long non-coding RNA (CSUB_LNC000281)". The record is from RNAcentral. Lineage: Eukaryota; Viridiplantae; Chlorophyta; Trebouxiophyceae; Coccomyxaceae.